This 169-nucleotide ribosomal RNA is filed under the name uncultured bacterium. Its description in RNAcentral is "partial 16S ribosomal RNA". It matches the Rfam family "Bacterial small subunit ribosomal RNA", at positions 349 to 507 of the family's 1533-position model. The record is from RNAcentral.
GAGAAGAAGGGGGUUGUGCACAAUGGGCGCAAGCCUGAUGCAGCGACGAAAAGAUGAGGGAUGAAGGCCUUCGGGUCGUAAAGCUCUGUCAUGGGGGAUGAACGUCCGGGUGGUUAAGAGCCGCCUGUCCUUGCCAGAACCCCAGGAGGAAGCCCCGGCUAACUACGUG